CAGCCGCCGCGGGAAUACGUAGGGGGCAAGCGUUGUCCGGAAUCAUUGGGCGUAAAGCGCGUGUAGGCGGCUCGAUAAGUCUGCUGUGAAAGUCCAGGGCUCAACCCUGGAAUGCCGGUGGAAACUGUCGAGCUUGAGUCCGGAAGAGGCGAGUGGAAUUCCUGGUGUAGCGGUGAAAUGCGCAGAUAUCAGGAGGAACACCAAUGGCGAAGGCAGCUCGCUGGGACGGUACUGACGCUGAGACGCGAAAGCGUGGGGAGCAAACAGGAUUAGAGACCCCUGUAGUCCCUGUCUCUUAUAC
RNAcentral lists this ribosomal RNA (301 nucleotides) under uncultured bacterium. RNAcentral describes it as "partial 16S ribosomal RNA". It matches the Rfam family "Bacterial small subunit ribosomal RNA", at positions 509 to 807 of the family's 1533-position model. The record is from RNAcentral.